UACGAAGGGGGCGAGCGUUGUUCGGAUUUACUGGGCGUAAAGGGCGCGUAGGCGGCGAUCCAAGUUAGGCGUGAAAGCCCCGGGCUUAACCUGGGAAUUGCGCUUAAGACUGGACUGCUUGAGUGCGGGAGAGGUGAGUGGAAUUCCCAGUGUAGAGGUGAAAUUCGUAGAUAUUGGGAAGAACACCAGUGGCGAAGGCGGCUCACUGGCCCGCAACUGACACUGAGGCGCGAAAGCGUGGGGAGCAAACAGG
This 253-nucleotide ribosomal RNA is filed under the name uncultured bacterium. RNAcentral's name for it is "partial 16S ribosomal RNA". It matches the Rfam family "Bacterial small subunit ribosomal RNA", at positions 524 to 776 of the family's 1533-position model. The record is from RNAcentral.